UCGAGGAUCUUCGGCAAUGGGCGCAAGCCUGACCGAGCGACGCCGCGUGCGCGAUGAAGGCCUUCGGGUUGUAAAGCGCUGUCGAGGGGAAGAAAGCCCGCAAGGGUUGAUCGACCCCUGGAGGAAGCACGGGCUAAGUUCGUGCCAGCAGCCGCGGUAAGACGAACCGUGCGAACGUUGUUCGGAUUCACUGGGCUUAAAGGGCGCGUAGGCGGACCACCAAGUCUGGGGUGAAAUCCCCCGGCUCAACCGGGGAAUUGCUUGAGAUACUGGUGGUCUCGAGGAAGGUAGGGGUGUGCGGAACUUCCGGUGGAGCGGUGAAAUGCGUAGAUAUCGGAAGGAACGCCGGUGGCGAAAGCGGCGCACUGGACCUUUUCUGACGCUGAGGCGCGAAAGCCAGGGGAGCGAACGGGAUUAGAUACCCCGGUAGUCC
This 433-nucleotide ribosomal RNA is filed under the name uncultured bacterium. Its description in RNAcentral is "bacterial SSU rRNA". It matches the Rfam family "Bacterial small subunit ribosomal RNA", at positions 355 to 796 of the family's 1533-position model. The record is from RNAcentral.